UAGCAACGGUCGGAUUUUUCUCUUAGUUCAAAUAAGAUUAGCUUUCUAAAAAUAAAUAUGACUAAUAGAAAUAAAUAUGAAAAAAGCUAAAGUCCUAUUGGAGGUAUAUCUUGACUCCUAUAUCAACAUUACCUUUUUGUCGAUCUAUCUGAUUCUUCUUGGAUUGAAAGAUACAUCAGGUCAAAAUCUUUUCUAAAAAAAAUUGUGGAUAGAUCAACCUAUUUGGGGUCCAAAUGAUAGAAUUUCAACAUAUUUUAACCUUUUAAAAUGUUAGC
RNAcentral lists this long non-coding RNA (275 nucleotides) under Phoenix dactylifera (date palm). RNAcentral describes it as "long non-coding RNA (PDAC_LNC007415)". The record is from RNAcentral. Lineage: Eukaryota; Viridiplantae; Streptophyta; Magnoliopsida; Arecales; Arecaceae.